AAGUCGUAACAAGGUUUCCGUAGGUGAACCUGCGGAAGGAUCAUCAAAAGAGGGGUGCGCAUGCUCUGGGCCGCAAGGCCCUCGGCGCCACCACGACACACUGUGUUGCAGUGAGAUGAGUGCGGCGCGCGCAUGUUGCGCCGCACGCGUUUAUUAGCACGCCAUACGUGCAAAUGGAACCAGCAACAACAGCAACAACACAACAAACACAACUGUUAGCAACGGAUCACUUGGUUCUC
RNAcentral lists this unclassified non-coding RNA (239 nucleotides) under fungal sp. RNAcentral describes it as "partial internal transcribed spacer region". The stretch from base 1 to 46 matches the Rfam family "Eukaryotic small subunit ribosomal RNA", at positions 1786 to 1831 of the family's 1831-position model. The record is from RNAcentral. Lineage: Eukaryota; Fungi.